CUCUGUGACUCCUACGGGAGCAGCAGUGGGGAAUAUUGCACAAUGGGGGAAACCCUGAUGCAGCCAUGCCGCGUGUGUGAAGAAGGCCUUCGGGUUGUAAAGCACUUUCAGUAGGGAGGAAGGUAGUGUAGUUAACACCUGCAUUAUUUGACGUUACCUACAGAAGAAGCACCGGCUAACUCCGUGCCAGCAGCCGCGGUAAUACGGAGGGUGCGAGCGUUGUUCGGAAUCACUGGGCGUAAAGCGCACGUAGGCGGAUUGAUAAGUUAGGGGUUGGAAAUACCCGGGGCCGUCAACCUCGGAACUGCCUUUGUAUACUGUCAGUCUUGAGUCCGAGAGAGGUGAGUGGAACUCCGAGUGUAGAGGUGAAAUUACGUUAGAUAUUCGGAAGAACACCAGUGGCGAAGGCGGCUCACUGGCUCGGUACUGACGCUGAGGUGCGAAAGACGUGGGGAGCAAACAGGAGUUAGAUACCCUGGUAG
RNAcentral lists this ribosomal RNA (482 nucleotides) under uncultured bacterium. RNAcentral describes it as "bacterial SSU rRNA". It matches the Rfam family "Bacterial small subunit ribosomal RNA", at positions 328 to 793 of the family's 1533-position model. The record is from RNAcentral.